RNAcentral lists this ribosomal RNA (535 nucleotides) under Staphylococcus sp. RNAcentral's name for it is "bacterial SSU rRNA". It matches the Rfam family "Bacterial small subunit ribosomal RNA", at positions 1 to 521 of the family's 1533-position model. Lineage: Bacteria; Bacillati; Bacillota; Bacilli; Caryophanales; Staphylococcaceae. The record is from RNAcentral.
UUGGAGAGUUUGAUCCUGGCUCAGGAUGAACGCUGGCGGCGUGCCUAAUACAUGCAAGUCGAGCGAACAGACGAGGAGCUUGCUCCUCUGACGUUAGCGGCGGACGGGUGAGUAACACGUGGAUAACCUACCUAUAAGACUGGGAUAACUUCGGGAAACCGGAGCUAAUACCGGAUAACAUGUUGAACCGCAUGGUUCAACAGUGAAAGACGGUCUUGCUGUCACUUAUAGAUGGAUCCGCGCCGCAUUAGCUAGUUGGUAAGGUAACGGCUUACCAAGGCAACGAUGCGUAGCCGACCUGAGAGGGUGAUCGGCCACACUGGAACUGAGACACGGUCCAGACUCCUACGGGAGGCAGCAGUAGGGAAUCUUCCGCAAUGGGCGAAAGCCUGACGGAGCAACGCCGCGUGAGUGAAGAAGGUCUUCGGAUCGUAAAACUCUGUUAUUAGGGAAGAACAAAUGUGUAAGUAACUAUGCACGUCUUGACGGUACCUAAUCAGAAAGCCACGGCUAACUACGUGCCAGCAGCCGCGUA